RNAcentral lists this long non-coding RNA (858 nucleotides) under Fukomys damarensis (Damara mole-rat). Its description in RNAcentral is "lncRNA (ENSFDAG00000031023.1)". Lineage: Eukaryota; Metazoa; Chordata; Mammalia; Rodentia; Bathyergidae. The record is from RNAcentral.
CUAUUAUGCGUUUAUUAUUUGGUGAAAUUAAUUUCACUGGAUGACACUUCAACUUGUACAAAAUGUGUUUUUACCAGGGAUUGAACUCAGGACUUUGCGUUUAUGAGGCCGGUGCAGAGCCACAGAGCUAAAUCUCCAGUCCUGGACCGAAUGUUUUCAACCAGAGGAGUCCAAAGGAGUCGUGGAGAGGGGAGAAGGAGAAGACUGAAAAAUAGGCGUGGGCCAGAGCUGCAUCAGGAAGCCAUCCACCCAAGGGUCAACAUUUGGGCAGGUGUUAAAGGGGAGCAAGACAGCUCCUGGCACCUGCACAGAGCAAAAUGCAGCACGAAUGGGCAGGUAGGGCCUGGCAGGAAAAGAGAGGAGAUCACUAAAAAUGACAGUGAGUCUUGAAUCUGGUAGCCAGAGAGGGGAAAAUGAAGAAAAUGAAAAAAAAAUGAAUACAACACAAUCACAGCAAAAAUACUGUUAGUAUUUAAUUAUUACUGUGGUAGUCUAUUAAAUGUAAUGACCCACCUCUCUGUAAGUUCUCCAAGCGUAAACAACAAAGACAGGGAAACAGGUUAAAAAGGACACUACCCAAGUCGCUCAUCUAUGUUCCCAGCAACACAUUGGUGCUCUUUGUUAAUGGUUUAAAAUAGAGCUUUGGAGGAUGUGAUUGAAAUCUUCCUCCUUGACUUUGAGCCUCAAGGUGCCUCCGUGUAGAAGAGCAUCAAGUACUGCAGAGUCCCAAACAAAUGAGGCACACACAGCUCUACACUCCCAUUUCACUCACUGUAAUAAAAAUACUUCAGUGUGCUUUGUUCCAGGUGAUAAUGUGUUGCGAUGUUACAUUACGUCAAAUAAAUCGAUGAAAACAAA